CUCAGUGAAAAUUUCAUCACCGUCGUUGACAGUUCAGCCAAAAUUCUCUAGCUCCACACAAUUCGCUUAGCCAAAAUCUCAAAAUUAUCUAAACUACAUUUUGUGUUCACUUUUGAUCAUUCAAAGUCAUCGCCCAACGUUCAUUCGCUAUUCAAGCGGAAAUUUAAGCGCCCGAGCAGGAAAAUUCCAGUGGAUUUCUUGCUUUUUUCGACUAAAGUAGCGCCCACAUAGACCGAGAAUUGUUGCAGGAACGAGGACGCCCUCAGCGAGAACGGAGGCCAACUGUUCGACUUAAUUGUCGACCACUGUCAAUAUUAGCGCCAUCGCAACUGCUGGGUGUGGGCGAAUCUGCGCCCCGCCACCGGAGCCGAAAAGCAGCACCCUGAAUUUCUCGUCGUUCAAAUCGAGCUUCACUUCCAAUGUUAAUUUCCUGAAGAGAAGGUAAAGACCUUAAAAAAGGAAGUGCCCCCCUGAGAAGGGGUGGCCCAGUUGAACGAAACUAAUUUGAAAUUUCAUAUGUUCGUCUAUUUCUCUCUCUCUGUCUCUCUUUCUGUGGCGGUACUUUUGUGCCGCCCCAUUUGAUUUUCCCACCCUCCCCCUUCCACUCAACUGCGCUGCACCAUUCAAACUGUUGGAAAACCACCAAAUCAAUCAAUCAAUCCACCAAAAACACUCGAACACA
This is a non-coding RNA of Drosophila takahashii, 682 nucleotides long. The record is from RefSeq and is a predicted model, not a curated record. NCBI's taxonomy places the organism in Eukaryota, Metazoa, Arthropoda, Insecta, Diptera, Drosophilidae.